CUAAUACUGGAUAAGACCACGAGCUCCUCGGAGCUUGCGGCAAAAAGAUGGCCUCUCCUUGGAAGCUAUCGCCCUUCGAUGAGCCCGCGUCCCAUUAGCUAGUUGGUGAGGUGACGGCUCACCAAGGCUUUGAUGGGUAGCUGGUCUGAGAGGAUGAUCAGCCACACUGGAACUGAGACACGGUCCAUACUCCUACGGGAGGCAGCAGUCGGGGAAUUUUGGGCAAUGGGCGAAAGCCUGACCCAGCAACGCCGCGUGAGGGAUGAAGGCCCUCGGGUCGUAAACCUCUGUCGGGAGGGAAGAAUGGUUGCCGUUCAAAUAGGGCGGGAACCUGACGGUACCUCCAAAGGAAGCACCGGCUAACUCCGUGCCAGCAGCCGCGGUAA
This 386-nucleotide ribosomal RNA is filed under the name uncultured delta proteobacterium. Its description in RNAcentral is "bacterial SSU rRNA". It matches the Rfam family "Bacterial small subunit ribosomal RNA", at positions 163 to 523 of the family's 1533-position model. The record is from RNAcentral. Lineage: Bacteria; Deltaproteobacteria.